Molecule: ribosomal RNA, 399 nt
Filed under: uncultured bacterium
Lineage: Bacteria
Description: bacterial SSU rRNA
Rfam family: Bacterial small subunit ribosomal RNA
Source: RNAcentral
UGGGGAAUCUUGGACAAUGGGGGCAACCCUGAUCCAGCCAUGCCGCGUGAGUGAUGAAGGCCUUAGGGUCGUAAAGCUCUUUCGCCUGUGAAGAUAAUGACGGUAGCAGGUAAAGAAACCCCGGCUAACUCCGUGCCAGCAGCCGCGGUAAUACGGAGGGGGUUAGCGUUGUUCGGAAUUACUGGGCGUAAAGCGCACGUAGGCGGACCAGAAAGUUGGGGGUGAAAUCCCGGGGGCUCAACCCCGGAACUGCCUCCAAAACUAUUGGUCUAGAGUUCGAGAGAGGUGAGUGGAAUUCCAAGUGUAGAGGUGAAAUUCGUAGAUAUUAGGAAGAACACCAGUGGCGAAGGCGGCUCACUGGACAGGUAUUGACGCUGAGGUGCGAAAGCGUGGGGAGCG